This 499-nucleotide ribosomal RNA is filed under the name uncultured bacterium. RNAcentral's name for it is "partial 16S ribosomal RNA". It matches the Rfam family "Bacterial small subunit ribosomal RNA", at positions 30 to 523 of the family's 1533-position model. The record is from RNAcentral.
AUUGAACGCUGGCGGCAUGCCUUACACAUGCAAGUCGAACGGCAGCACGGGAGCAAUCCUGGUGGCGAGUGGCGAACGGGUGAGUAAUAUAUCGGAACGUGCCCAGUCGUGGGGGAUAACGUAGCGAAAGCUACGCUAAUACCGCAUACGAGCUACGGAUGAAAGCGGGGAUCGCAAGACCUCGUGCGAUUGGAACGGUCGAUAGCAGAUGAGCUAGUUGGUGAGGUAAAGGCUCACCAAGGCGACGAUCUGUAGCUGGUCUGAGAGGACGACCAGCCACACUGGAACUGAGACACGGUCCAGACUCCUACGGGAGGCAGCAGUGGGGAAUUUUGGACAAUGGGCGCAAGCCUGAUCCAGCAAUGCCGCGUGCAGGAUGAAGGCCUUCGGGUUGUAAACUGCUUUUGUACAGAACGAAACGGCUCUUUCUAAUUCAAGGGGCUAAUGACGGUACUGUAAGAAUAAGCACCGGCUAACUACGUGCCAGCCGCCGCCGUAA